CAGGCAUACAACGAAGAAAAAAGCGCUUGGCUCAUCUUUGCCGUUGCUGGUGGUCCCGUUUCUGCUUCGUUUUUCUUCCUUUUUGAAAAAGCCUUCUUCUUUUUAGGCGAAAGGGGGAAGGCGGCGUUUGGUGUGGAACCCGUGCUCCCGGCUUGGCGUUUGCCAUCUCAAGCUGGGCCUCGGUGGCCGACAUUGUUUUUUCAGGGUGCGGGGCGCCAAAGGCCGGCGGCCAUGCGCGGGGUUUGCAGGGCGGGGAUGAAGUCUUUUUGUCUCCCGGAUAGAUUUUGGCUGAGGCAUGGGGCCCGCCUGGCGUCGCGGGUGUUGGGUGCUUUUUAAAGCUUUACUUCGGGGGCUGUGUGAUGGUGUGGUGUGUGCUUUUUGAUGUUGGUGUGCCGGUGUCGUAUUUUCCAAAUGUCCGCGAGAAACCUGGGGCCGACGGAAAUAGCAACCCGGGCUGCCCGACCACACGGGCAAAGGCGUCUUUGUCUUGAAAACGCCCAGCCUGCUGCUUAAAAAAGGUUCUAUCCAGCAACUGUCUGAACGGAUGAUUGUCUCUUGCCGUUGUCGAUUGCUGGUAGCACCCAUUGUGCUGGAAUUUGGGGUUCCCUAGGCCCCUUUUCCGGCACCCGUUUCAAAAGGGGGAAGGGGCUGUCGCCCAAGAGCCCUUUCCCGGCGACCCCGCCCACCAAAGCCAACGGCCGUUCUUCCUUGUGCCAAAAAAAGGCAAAAUUUCGGCUCGCCAAAUCUUAGGGUCUAGGGUGACCGCGGGCGGUCUCCCGAUAACAAAAGGCAAAGGCACCUCGGUAAAAAAGAUGAGCGACAAUAACAUCUUUUGUUUCUGUGCGCAACUGGAUAAAGGGACUUUUGCGCGAGCCACAAAAAAAAAGAAUAAAGAUGCGGUGGGGAAAUUUUUCAGCAGCAAAGCUAUUUUCAGGCAUUGCUUUCCGCUUCCAUUUCCUCGCGGGGAGGGGGGCGGAGGAGAGGCAGGAUUAUCAUGAAAGCCAAAGCGUUUGUGAGGCUCUGCAAGUGGUUGUUUUUAUUCCACCCUCAAACCCUUUUAUAAACUACACUAAAUCCUCUUCGUGGUGUUCGCCGCGUUUUCGGCCGAACGGCGGCCCCAUCAAG
This 1125-nucleotide unclassified non-coding RNA is filed under the name Leishmania donovani. Its description in RNAcentral is "gene:unknown". Lineage: Eukaryota; Euglenozoa; Kinetoplastea; Trypanosomatida; Trypanosomatidae. The record is from RNAcentral.